This 21-nucleotide non-coding RNA is filed under the name Arabidopsis thaliana (thale cress). Lineage: Eukaryota; Viridiplantae; Streptophyta; Magnoliopsida; Brassicales; Brassicaceae. RNAcentral also lists the same sequence under 1 other name. The record is from RNAcentral.
GUAGCCAAAUGCCUCGUCAUC